CUUCAGUGCCUCCUUCUCUUUUAUUCAUUUCUAUCUAUCCUUGUUGUAUUCACCGGCAGUCACGAUAUCUUAGAUUCUUUGUUAUCUUUUCAGUGCAGCGUCUUAACUAUUGCUCCAAGAGCUUCGGGGGCUAAUCAUCUUAUAAAGAUGAACUCGGCAAUCCAGCAAAAACAGCUAGUUGGACUGUUUAUUUAUGUCCCUCAAAUGAGCUGAUUAUGAAUUCCUUGGAUGAGUCGCUAAGUUGCAGUGACUCUCAGGUUUUCCCAUUUGUGAGACAAAGUGGACGAAAUUCCUGUUUUGAUCCGUUCUUGAGCAGCAAAUCAGCUUCUGCCAUACUUCUACGCCUGCCGCCUGAGCUCAUUCGGUGUUCUCUUUGUUGCUGUCCAUUAUGUUUUCUCAGGCUGCGCUACAGAUCUGUUUUCUCCACCUAUUGAACCCCCCGUCCUCAAAACAGUUAGAAACUUCUGCAAUGCAUGAUAAGCCGCAUCUACCUAAUAUUAUCGACAGACUUUUUCUGCCAGGAAAAGAAAUGCCCAAUGAAAGCAAAUCAAUGGGCCAUGGAAGCAGGUCUUCCCAGCAGUGACCUAAUCUGCCUGUUUCAAAAGAAGAGGUUACAAUGACAUGAACCGUAAGACGGGAGAGAGAGCUCGCUAAGCUUGAAUCCCCGCCCGUAUGCUUACCUGCUAGGUCACAUCUCUGAGCUCCAAUGUCCUCAUCUGUGAAACGGUAAGAGCGAUAGUCACCUGACCUGGCUCUUCAGACAAGAUGAUGUAUCUUGCUCAGCACCUGCAGUUUGUAUACAGAAGAGUCAUUGCUUUAACACGGGUUUCAAGGAUGGACCAACUCUCAGAGAAGAUAUAAACUAUGGGUGACCGCAAAAAAGAGGAUGGCAGGGUGAUGACCAACUGCCUCUGAGAAGAGAGAAAAAAGAACAAACAGCUGGCCCCUAGGCUUGUUAGAGAGGCAGAGUGGUAUGGCCCAACAGCAUUCAUUCAUUUUGUCUUUUUUCUCCCAUCUAGAAACACCAAUGUCAUCUUGUCCUAGGCCUGAAUCUUCUGGCCCCCUAGUGUCCUAUUUCACACUCCCACAUAUACACACCAAAUAAAUGCAUAUCAUCCCACACAAACGCAAGCCACCUGACUCACUGAACGUUUGGUGUGACCCUCAACAUUGUUUUUUUUUUCUUUUAAUUCUAAUGCCACUCAUCAAUCAUGGCUAUAAAAUAUAGGGGCAGGUGCACAUUGCCUUUCGGCGGCGGGAUAUGUGUGUGCCAUGUUUGGUGGGCUGGCUGUGGAGCAUUUUCUCUUUGAAUGAAAGAAGUCAUCCUGAACACACAUUCUUUUCUGGUAAUUGCUUUUUCUUCUAGAUCACAAUAUGCCAGAGGACACAUUUUGUGUUGUUUCCUUUCUCUUGGUUCCAUUGCUUAUUAAUGGGUUUUUGAAGUCUGUAUCCUUAGGUUUAUUUCCUGACUUUGGCCAGGGAACUUUACAGGGAGCACUUCUCUGUGAAAACACGGGAGGGCAAACAGAAAUAGCACACCUGGCCAGAUACCUGGUCAGGGAAAAAAGAACCUAACUUCACAAAAUGUCCUCACAGACAAGAUCUAGUUUGCUCCUUUUGAAGACCGAAGACUGGAAGAUCAGGUUUUAUUAUACUGUUUUACAGAUUAAGAACUGACUCUGGGAGGUGAAAAAGA
This is a long non-coding RNA of Leopardus geoffroyi (Geoffroy's cat), 1696 nucleotides long. RefSeq lists it as uncharacterized. Lineage: Eukaryota; Metazoa; Chordata; Mammalia; Carnivora; Felidae. The transcript is spliced from 5 exons. The record is from RefSeq and is a predicted model, not a curated record.